CGAAUGUAAACACAAAACAUGUGCCAUGAUGUGGUACUUCUACAGAGAUUGAUCGUCAGUAUUUUCAAGCAUAUUUUUGACACGUUUUAAAAUAUAUACGUAAAGGUAUGUUUCCCUAAUAAUCAGCAGAGGGAUAAAGAACUACCCCAUAUAUAUGAAACAUUUUAAAGAACAACUGUAUGGUGUGUGAAAAUAAUAAAUGUAACAUGUUACAGGUAUACUGCCGUCAAAGAAAACGGUAGUACGAUUCCACGAAUGGUAAAAUAUUCUUUUUUAACUCAAUAGUUCUCUAACGAUGUAUAAGCAAAUCAAAAUUCGUUACAACGAAUUUAAAAACCAAUUUUUAAAGCAUAUUUUGAUUUAAAAUUGAUACAUGCAAAUCACAAAGAGAAAGUACUAUUGGGACAAAGAGGAAUAACUCUAUUUAAAAACUAACUUUUUAAAUUUUAUUUAGAUACAGAUUAAAUAAUCAUGCAUUACACUCAAAUUCUUCAGCUGUCAGUGGUGAUUAUUUAAAAAAAUUGAGAAGGAAAUGGGGAAUGUGUAAAAGAGACAACAAUCCAACCAGCAGGGAUGGGGUCGAUUACUUUAAAAUGUAAUCGAUUAAAUUACAAUUACUUUGCUAAUAAAAUGUAAUAGACAACUUUCGAGUUCGAUGCAUUUCCGUCAAAAACUCUGGUUUUAGUGAACGUCAUUUGUGCGUUUAGGGGCGUCGUCACUUCCGUUCCAAUGUUGAGCGAGUGGUUGGAAAACUAUAAUUCUAUAUUGUACGAAUUAUUCGGCAAAUUGAAUUCUCAAAAUUGACAAUCAGCAUUGCUGUCAUUAGGGAAUUGUCAUUACCUACAGAACAACCAUUAUUUCUAGUUUAUCCUGCACAAUGACGAUCACUAAGACGCUUGAUGAACGUAAAUAGUGCAGGGAUACAGGCGACCCCCUCUAUCUGGUAAAUGACGUCAUAAAGGCGCGUAUAAUUGACGAGUUUUUUCCGGUGACGGAUGAACUCGAAAGUGGUCUAUUGAUUACAUUACAAUUACACCCUAUUUCAUAUGUAAUCGAUUACAUUAGAUUACUUUUCUUUAAAGUAAUCAUGAUUACUUUAGAUUACUUAUGAUUACAUUAUAUAUUGCAAUAUCAAAAGUUUUUCUAUAACUUUUAUCCUCACAAAAAAGCUAAUUUUGGUGAUUUUUUUUAAAAACCUUAAUUUUUUCAUCUGAUGUAAAAGAAUUUUUAGACAAGUACAGUGUAACAUGUGUAAUUUGAUAAAAUAGCUAUAGACAUGUGUCCUUUCUCUAUGUAAAAGAUAUAACUUUAUUUUUUUCUAUAAAUUUUAACCAACUGUCUAAAUUAACAAAAAACCUGAACAAAUAAGGAAAAAUUAAUUAAUUAUAGUUUUAUUGUCUUUUGGGACAUAAGUGACACAUCCAUUAAUGUUUUUACAGGUGUUAAUCACUACUUCCUUUUUUUUUUAACAAACAAUAGGUGAAUAAGCUUGGGUAUUAAAAUUGUAUUGUCUUAAUAACAAUAUCAAUAAACAUGUAAAGCUCAAAGUUGUUUGAAAAUUUUAAAUACUUGAUCUAAUUAAUAAUUGAUAGAUUUAUUGUCAGUUGAAAACACAAAACAGCUUUGUAACUUAGGAAAGUAUAUACAUUUCUCUUUAAAUUAAGAAACAGUUUACUGUAAUAAAAGAUAUUUUGUAUUGAUGAAACUUCUGACAUCACCUAUUGUUUACUAUGUAUAUUGUUUGUAAUAUUAUGCCAUAUGUAUACACUAUACAUGUACUUGCUUAUACUGAUGAGCCGUAAGGUUAAUAAAGAAUAAAAAUUAGAAAGCACAUAUUAUACACAAAUUUUUUAUUCAAUUUGUCAAUAAAUGAAAUCUGUUUUUUUUAAACUUCCAUUUUGAAUUAAGUGGGCUCAUAUAUUUAUGUCGACCAUCAAAGUCAAAUUGGAACUAAUUGUUUUCUGCAUUUGAAUUUCAAUGUAGUUAUGUAAAAAUAUUGGGUAAACUUAUAUGAAAUUGGGAGUUAAUAUCAGAUGUUUUCAAUCAAGGAAAAACAAUGCUUUCAAGGCAUAUUCUUGUAUCAUAAGAUUGAGCUCAAUCUCACAACGAAAUUUAAGAGGCAAUUUCCUUUAGUUAACUGUUCACAAAAUAAAACACUUGGUUAUACAAAUUUGUUAAAAAGAUGAUACAAUUUAUCACAUUAAACAAGGUCCCAUCAUUGUGAAAACUAGUUUCAUGAUUUUUCAUUCAAGCUUUACAUUUUCUUAUUUUCAUCUUGUCUAUCAAAAACUGUUUUUAUAUAUCAUGUAUAUAUACAAGAUUUGUAAUCAGCAAGUAAUCAUAUGAAUGUAAUCUUAAAGUAAUCUAAAAGUAAUCAUGAUUACACCUAUUUUUUGCAAUGUAAUUGAUUACAUUACGAUUACUUGUAAUCAGAAAUGGCAUGAUUACUGAUUACAUAGGAUUACAAUGCAAAAUGUAAUCGAUUACAGCUGAUUACGAUUACUGAUUACGAUUACCCCAUGCCUGCCAACCAGAUCAGACAACAGCAGAAUUCAGGGCGACAUACAACACAAAUUUAUGUUUCACAUAACUGCAUAAAGGAAACAUCUCAAUUACAAUUAUUAUUCAAUAUUGUUAGAUUUAUAAACAUGUAACCAUAAUUUGGUAUUCAGCCUUUGGUUUCUUUUUGUAUCCUUUUUUAUAAGUUCUAAAACUUUAACGUUUAUUCUGUGGGUUGUGUUGAUGUUAGAAUAGUAUUAAUGGAACAAUUGAGUUUUUCGAGAAAAAAUUAACACAUUUUGAUUCACCGUUUACGUGACAGGAAACAAAACAGGAAACCAAUCUUUAUUUUCUUUAUUUUGCACAAUAUAUUUCAAAAGACAUAAAUGAACACCAUUACUUGUGCUACUUGUUUCAUGUUAAUAUUUAAAAUCUAUUUUCAAUGUUAAAUUAAAGUUUUUUUUAAACGCGACAGGAAACCAUAAGAAACCGAAAGCAUUUUUUUAGUUUUAUUUUAUUGCAAAAUCUGCUUAAAAUGAUCUGAACAGUAUACUUUUUCUUAAAAUCCAUAUAUAUGGCAUAUGGAUGGAGAGUGAUUAAUUAAGUAAUCAAGUAAAAACCUUUUCUUUUCGGCAUAUAAUUAUAUUUGACAAACAUAUAAAACAUAAGCUUUAAUGAGCUUUUCACCGAAUAAAAAAACAUAUACAAUAACAAAAAAACAAGGCAUGCAGCAUGCAAAUGAAGUCACUGUAGCAGAACAAAAAAAUCCCCAUUAAAAUUUCUUUAAUUUGUGUUUAUAUUACAUGUAUAAUGAAUGAUUACCAGUCAGGGGACUUACUGAAAUAAGUGAUUUUUAAAUCACUUAUUUGAGUAGCAAAUUUGAAGUUUUGUCACAAAUUGUGAUUUUGUAGUUUUACCAAAAUUUUAAACACAUAGGUUUAAACAAUAUCUUUUCAUUAAUAAAAUUGGAAAAAAAUGAACUUUUUGCUUCUUUUAUGUAGCAAGGUUUAUGCCUUUGAAUUGAUGCUAUCAUUUAUCUGCAAAUUCUAUUUUAGUUGAAAAAAUGCUAUAAUAAUGGCUUUACAUUGUACAUAAUGGAAUGAUACUUUCUUAACAGAUUUUUCCCAGCAGUGGGAGUAUUUUUCCUGUAAAGUUCAAGGUUUCAUCUUUCAAAUUAUGUGAUAAAAUUCUACUGUUCCCGAUAAAAAUUUCACUGUUUGGGUGUGUUGAAAUUAGUGGGAGUUAUUAAAAUAAUGAUACUUAAAUAAGUGAUUUUUGGGAAUGAAAUUGAGGUAUGACACUUAAACUAGUGAUUUUAAUGUCAAUAUCCUAGAUUCAGUACAAGGUCAUCACCUGAAAUGACCUGGUCAUCCUAGACAACACAGAUGUUGGUUCUGAUAAUUUUAGAAACAUAAUUAUAGUCCCUGGAUCAUUAGUAUUCUAUAUUUAAAGCUACAUGUAUACUAAAAUUAAAUCACUUCUUCUAGUGAUUAAUUUGUACUACAUAAAUAGGUGAUUAUUAAAGAAAGACAACUCUUACUUCCAAUCUUUCUGGAAAUAAUGUUACUUAAUUCAGUGAUUUAGAAAUUCACUCAUUUUAAGUAAGUCCCCUGACUGAUUACAAAAUGUAUCAUCCUAAUUCUGGAAGGACUGUAUGUUUUUACAGAUUCAAGAUUCAAGUAACACCAAUGAUUAUUUUUCAGCUGAUAUUCUAUAAUAACGUAUAGGUAGCUGAUUCAAAGAUGAAAAUUGUGAACUCUCACAAUGAAUGGGAUCCUUUAGAAGAAAUCAUAUUGGGAGUACCAGAUUUUUGGUGUACACCUCAAAAAGAACCAGGAUAUUUACCUACUAGCAG
RNAcentral lists this long non-coding RNA (4354 nucleotides) under Mytilus galloprovincialis (Mediterranean mussel). Lineage: Eukaryota; Metazoa; Mollusca; Bivalvia; Mytilida; Mytilidae. The record is from RNAcentral.